This 811-nucleotide ribosomal RNA is filed under the name uncultured bacterium. RNAcentral describes it as "bacterial SSU rRNA". It matches the Rfam family "Bacterial small subunit ribosomal RNA", at positions 60 to 888 of the family's 1533-position model. The record is from RNAcentral.
AGUCGAACGAAGUUUUUCAUUCGUGGAAAACUUAGUGGCGGACGGGUGAGUAACGCGUGGGUAACCUGCCCUGUACAGGGGGACAACAGCUGGAAACGGCUGCUAAUACCGCAUAAGCCCUUAGCACUGCAUGGUGCAUAGGGAAAAGGAGCAAUCCGGUACAGGAUGGACCCGCGUCUGAUUAGCCAGUUGGCAGGGUAACGGCCUACCAAAGCGACGAUCAGUAGCCGAUCUGAGAGGAUGUACGGCCACAUUGGGACUGAGACACGGCCCAGACUCCUACGGGAGGCAGCAGUGGGGAAUAUUGCACAAUGGAGGAAACUCUGAUGCAGCGACGCCGCGUGAGUGAAGAAGUAUUUCGGUAUGUAAAGCUCUAUCAGCAGGGAAGAAAAUGACGGUACCUGACUAAGAAGCACCGGCUAAAUACGUGCCAGCAGCCGCGGUAAUACGUAUGGUGCAAGCGUUAUCCGGAUUUACUGGGUGUAAAGGGAGCGUAGGUGGCAAGGCAAGCCAGAAGUGAAAACCCGGGGCUCAACCGCGGGAUUGCUUUUGGAACUGUCAUGCUAGAGUGCAGGAGGGGUGAGCGGAAUUCCUAGUGUAGCGGUGAAAUGCGUAGAUAUUAGGAGGAACACCGGAGGCGCAGGCGGCUCACUGGACUGUAACUGACACUGAGGCUCGAAAGCGUGGGGAGCAAACAGGAUUAGAUACCCUGGUAGUCCACGCGGUAAACGAUGAAUACUAGAUGUCGGGAAGCAUUGCUUCUCGGUGUCGUCGCAAACGCAAUAAGUAUUCCACCUGGGGAGUACGUUCG